This is a long non-coding RNA of Falco peregrinus (peregrine falcon), 5348 nucleotides long. RefSeq lists it as uncharacterized. The record is from RefSeq and is a predicted model, not a curated record. The transcript is spliced from 3 exons. Lineage: Eukaryota; Metazoa; Chordata; Aves; Falconiformes; Falconidae.
AGUACCGAUCUCACGGAGAAGAACCUGCGGCCACUUGAACGUACCGAGGUGCAGCACCCCCGCGUGCGCGCGGCCACGGGUGACACCGCCAGCCGGGAGAAGAGGACUAAAGGGUCCGACAGAAGAUACCAAAGAAAUGUAGGACUGCAACCCCUGGCCAGACAGACCUGCUUCUUGCAGCGUUCCAGUAUGAAGCUUCUGUAAUGUAACGCACACUGGACAAGAUUCAUUUACACAGCAGAAAAGCAAGGCAAGACACUCAUCUAUAAAACAGCACUUGAAAGUUUGAUCAGAGUACAUAAAACAUUGCAUUCUAUACUGAAAAACAGAGUUAAGUUAGGAUUUGGGUUGGGGACAGCUGCUUUAUAGGCUCUGGUGCAUGCAGCCAGAUGGAAAUAACUGUAACCAUUCACAGUAAACUGCACUUGUUCUAGUAUCAACUGAAUAGAUUAGGCUUAUAUCAGAAAGGAAGAUGCAUUUUUAUUGUCAAAACACUCACCAUUUAUGUCUUGUAGCACAGAUGAACGUAAGUUUGUGUAAAGGGCAAGUUUGCCCACAAAGGCAAAUCGAACUUACGAAACUGAAGUGGUGUAACUUCUUAUGGGGCUCUAUGGAUAAGGGUAAAUAACCUAGAACGAAGUCACUUUCUUCUGGUAUAAAGUCUUCAAUACAAAUAGUUCAUACAGGCAUAGCAAUGGCAAUGUAAUUUAAAACAAUUUCUGAAACUAGGCCAGCCCUCCUAGGCUGUUUGCUUCUAUGCAGAAAUAAGCUGCCAAUAUAUAUACAGUUUUAUACUGAUACAGCUCUGUUCACACUGUGGGGAAAGAUGGCUGAUGCUUUAAUUAUGCCAGUACAGAUAAAGUAACAAAACAUCUGAUAGAGAGCUUAGUAUCUCAGAUAUAGUCCAUUUACCUAUUGCAAGAUAGCUGCAAUAUUCCCAGCACAGGCAAAGCUUUAGAGUACUACUUCUUGCCUUAAAAAAUAAUCCCUCCUGUGUAAUUCCCAGAUCAUCAUCAACAUUUGAAGUGAUAAUGGAAUUACUAGAGACAAACCAGACUUUGAAUUUCUGCCAGAUUCUGUCAGGAGUUCAGCUGACGAGUUUUCUGCCUGCCACUCAGGUGUCUCUAUUCUUUUCAUAAUACUUUUUCUUUUAAAAAUAACUUCUUUUUUUCAGCAACAAUGCUGUGAUAAUUUUGAAUCUUAGUAAAAACACUGUAAAAACAAAGCGUGUGUUUGGGCUCGAAAAAAUACACAUAAAAGCAAUUACUCCUCCUCAGCCAGACUACAGCUUUGGAAAUUACCUCUGACUUGCCAAUGACAGUAACAGGCAAGCAGUUGUCCAGCAAAAUCCCUUUAGUUUAGCUGCACAAUAGUAAUUCCACCACUGUCUGUGCUUUAUUUGGUUGUUUGAAACCACAUCUGCAAAUCCAUGCUGCACUGUUAAAAAACCCAACCUUUUUGCUUCUAAAAGAACAAAAUUUAAUUGCUUCCUCAAGUAUUCCAUAACAUUUUAACCAGCAUGUUCCCCUUAGGACACUAUGAAUGGUAUCUCCCGGACAAGUGAGUUGAGACAUCAGAAUCACCUGAUAAAACAAGAAUGCAUUUUCCUCCUUACUUAUGACUUGUUUUACAAUAGGUUCCAAAACAAACUCAAGAUAAACGUAUAUAUGCAUGGUUGUAUGUCCCUGUCUCCCUCUCCCCUACAAAUAAGAUCGCUGCUCCCAAAAAUCUUUGGAUGAAGUGAAAUAUCUACAAUAGUAACUUACGUAUCAAGAGGCAAACUCUAUGUGCUUCAGUAAAAAUAAGAAUUGUGUUGAUUAUAACCUAGCUAGCACAUAGAAAGUACUGAUGGGUAUGUUAGUUAUUAAAAAAAAAUAACAAAAUAUUUAAUUUUUAGACCUUAAACUUGUUCUAAUUUUAGGGAUGGAUCUGUAUUGCAAACAGAGGUACUUAAAAGUUGAGGGUUUUGUUUGCUAGUUGGUCAGCCUCAGCAAGAGCAAAAAAAUUGAAAAUAAAAAUAAACACAAUCCUUGUAAUAGUAGCAUCCUGUCAUAAAUAAAUGUAGAGGGCAUACUUAUACAGAAAAUAUUGUUAAACAAACAUGACAUCUCUGUAUAGAAAGAUUACCUCAUUACAAAUAGUUAACAGAGCACUUUAAGGACCUGCCAGUAAGUGUAGUCUAUUACACAUAGGAAUUGAAAUUUCUCAAUGCUAUGAAACUCAGUAACAAUGUAACUUCAUCUAAAAUAUUUGUUACUUACAGAAAGCAUCUUGAAGGAUGCAAUACUGUAAUUUUUUACUUUCAGUUCAACUUCACUACUGAUUUUGAAACAUGCAGAAUUUUUUAGUGAUGGGCCAUUUUUACCAAUAGACUGAGGGGGAAAACUGAGGAAAAUGCUUCUUUUUCCUGAAAAUUCCAAAGCUUUUUUUCUCCAAGUGCCUCAGCCACAAUUCUUUUUCUAAUCCUCAGAGAUCCUCCUUUCUUUAUUACUAAGGUGAGAUCAAUCUUGGAUAUAGAUAUCCUGCUAAAUAAAACAUGGCUAGGAAAUUCAUGCCACACAAAACUUGCCUCUGGCCCCAUGUUGCCCCUAAAAGAUAUAAGAUUCUAUUCAUUGCCCUUUGUUGUGUGAAGGAUAGUCAGAUAAACAAGGUUGGAGGGUGGGAACAUAUACAACUGAUGUCUCCAGGAUUAAAUGAUCCAAUAGGAAGUUAGUCCACAGCAAGUUGCAACGAAAGACACUGUCUCUAAAACUAGAGAAGGAAAAAAAAGCAGUAGCAUAAACAGGUCAGACUCUAAAGAAAACACCCUCACCUGGUGUUUAGAAGCAGAAGGCUGUGCCAAGACAGAUCCUGCAUAAAGAAUCAUGGUCACCGACAACUAGAGAGUAAAUCAAUUCUAGAAGCAUCCCUGAAAACAACUGGUAGAACUUAGCAAAAAGAUAAGUCUCCAACCACGGUCUUUACUAAACCAAAGCAGAGGGCACUUCAUCCAUCUACAAACUGAAAUACUUUGCCCCUUAAAUUAAUGAGUGUCUGGAAUCCCAAAGCCAGGUCUCUGAAUGACAGCUAUAUCCACAGAGCAGCACAAAAUGAAAUUCAAGUCACUAACUAUCCCCCUCUGAUGUACUGAUUGAAGCUCUCAUUUGAUACCAAGUACAGUAUUUGUAUCCUGUAAGAUGGUAGUCCAUAACAUACACAAUUAGCCACUACACAGUAGGAUGAUGAAGUUAAUCUUAGGCACUACAUAAGUUUCAUCGUCUCUUCUUGGUGAGGAUGUCAGGAGUGAGAUAUCUUCUCUUGGAAAACCUUGAAACUCCCGUAGCCAUAUCGCAGAUAAGGCGCAAGCAUCUCCUUCCUUCAAAAAUGCAACUAACCAGCUCAAGAUGACAACGUUGAAAUGGCAGGAUCCAAGAGGACAGUAUUUAAGCUGGGUGUUGAUGAUCAAGGCAACAGAUUUCUGGGCCUGCUCUCAAAAAAAUGUCAUGAUGCUGGGAACCAAAACCUCCAUAGCGUGCUGUGGUGGUAUGCAGUCCUGCUAUGGUUGUUAAGUCAUAAGGUAAGCUAUACAUCAGCUCUCAGCCAACGAGCCCUCUCUCAGACAUUCCUGGAUUACAAGCUCCAAGAACAAGGCAAAAUAUGUCUCUCUGAGACAUGGGAGAGGAAGCUAAUUGUGUUCUAAAGAGGAAUGGAACAAAGGUAUUCCAUAACACUAAUACAUUAAUGCAUUAAGCACAAAAACUGGCAGGUGCACAGAUUAUAUACUACUCGGGUACCAUGCUUCUAAUUUACAGUGCUAAGGGCACAUACCUACCUACUGUGAUACAAACUGUCUCUUAAAAUAUGUCACUUCUCUAAGACUGAAUGUGCUGUCUCCUGAUUUAAUUUUUUUAAUUAUCAAGAACUCUUGUAACCGUUGCUUAGAUUUUAUGUAACUUUAUAAAUUCAAGAGGGGCAGAAAUUUGCCCCCAGUUGUUUAGUAUACCCAUGACAAGAAUUACAGGGAUUACUGAAUUGUCGGGAUGGGGGGUGAAGGGAGAAAAAAAAAUUACUGUAUUUUUCGUCACUCCUGAAGAAACGUGCAACUUACUACAAGCAUGUAAUAUUUCUUCCACUUACUUAAAUUGAGAGCUACUAUGAAAACACUUGCAUUUUAAUAGUUUAGUUUAACCAAUUGCUUGGCGGGAAUCGUUGCUUACUUUCUUAAACCAGAUAAUCCACUUCAGAUGCACCUGGUUCUCUCACAGUCUAUAUUGUUUAUAGAACCAAACAUAGAAUACCUUAAAUAUCUCAUCGAUGUUAAUGGUUCUCUGAAGUUAAAUAUUCUUAAAAGGUAAUACAUGCAUUUCUUUGAUUUGUUAUUUCUCUUAAAAUACUCUCCAUUUUUAUUCUUGAUCUUGAUCUCAAAAUACUGAUCUUUUACAGUAUCUUUUCUGUUUUUGGAGAAGGCGAAGAAGUCAGUCUAUAAUUGAAGCUGGGUAAGUCUUAAAAAAAUCUGCAAAGCUUUAAUGUUUUCUCUUUGAAACCCUAUCAUGCAGAGGAAAAACUUUUUGUUUUUUUUUUUUUAAACAGGAAAAAUUCUUGCUCUUUUUCUACCAAUUACAGAACUAUUUUCCACCUUUUCCUCCCACCCCCCACCAAAACAGAGAAUGAAAGAGGACCCUGGGUGAUAAACUAGGACAGAUUACUGGAGAUGGCCGUAGCAGUUCCUGUUCCUAUUGCACACCUUAUUCCUCUCCAAGUUCCCUGUCUCCACUACUGAGGCAGGAGUACCUGCUGCACCACUAUACUUUCAAAGAGCAGCCGUAAAGUAGAAUAGCACCAGUUCUGGGUGACUUUAAGGCUCGAGGUUACAAACUACAUUGAACUGUCACAACACAAACAACUAAACUACCCUUUCCUUGGAUCAGCUGGAGCAGGAGACAAACCAAGUUAAUCCUGUGAUCUGAACAGAGUCCCCAACACUUACUCCAUGCAGAAACUGUUACUUCUAAAUUAUGCAUGCAUUACCAAAAGACAUCUCUGUCUUUGUAAAAUGGAAAUUGCGGUAGCUGAACUAGCUACACACUCAUAGCUACAUGUUGGAAAACAAGAUAAAAAUGUGGCUGGGAAUAGAACUAGACAUUCAUGUUUUGUGUCGGUAAAGAAGUCCUCUUCAGAAACAGUACUGCUGAAAUGUUAGGUUACUAUAUAAUGCUCAAAUGGUAACUAACAAAUCCUCUCACAAAUCUAUUUUAAAUGUAAAUGUUAAGUGGAAAAUAUUUAUAGUUUAAGUUGCACCCUUUGCUACUUAAUUAUCAUAAUUUAUAAAGAAGAAACCUUUAAGUUCCUCCUCCAAAGAAGUUACUCAC